GAUGAACGCUGGCGGCGUGCCUAAUACAUGCAAGUCGAGCGAACAGACGAGGAUCUUGCUCCUCUGACGUUAGCGGCGGACGGGUGAGUAACACGUGGAUAACCGACCUAUAAGACUGGGAUAACUUCGGGAAACCGGAGCUAAUACCGGAUAAUAUAUUGAACCGCAUGGUUCAAUAGUGAAAGACGGUUUUGCUGUCACUUAUAGAUGGUUCCGCGCCGCAUUAGCUAGUUGGUAAGGUAACGGCCUACCAAGGCAACGAUGCGUAGCCGACCUGAGAGGGUGAUCGGCCACACUGGAACUGAGACACGGUCCAGACUCCUACGGGAGGCAGCAGUAGGGAAUCUUCGGCAAUGGGCGAAAGCCUGACGGAGCAACGCCGCGUGAGUGAUGAAGGUCUUCGGAUCGUAAAACUCUUUUAUUAGGGAAGAACAGAUGUGUAAGUAACUAUGGAUGUCUUGACGGUACCUAAUGAGAAAGCACCGGCUAACUACGUG
RNAcentral lists this ribosomal RNA (497 nucleotides) under uncultured bacterium. Its description in RNAcentral is "partial 16S ribosomal RNA". It matches the Rfam family "Bacterial small subunit ribosomal RNA", at positions 28 to 507 of the family's 1533-position model. The record is from RNAcentral.